UACGUAGGGGGCAAGCGUUGUCCGGAAUCAUUGGGCGUAAAGCGCGUGUAGGCGGCCCGGUAAGUCCGCUGUGAAAGUCCAGGGCUCAACCCUGGGAUGCCGGUGGAUACUGUCGGGCUCGAGUCCGGAAGAGGAGUGUGGAAUUCCAGGUGUAGCGGUGAAAUGCGUAGAUAUCUGGAGGAACACCGGUGGCGAAGGCGGCAUUCUGGACCGGCAUUGACGCUGAGGCGCGAAAGCCAGGGGAGCAAACGGG
RNAcentral lists this ribosomal RNA (253 nucleotides) under uncultured bacterium. Its description in RNAcentral is "partial 16S ribosomal RNA". It matches the Rfam family "Bacterial small subunit ribosomal RNA", at positions 524 to 776 of the family's 1533-position model. The record is from RNAcentral.